Molecule: ribosomal RNA, 74 nt
Filed under: Staphylococcus aureus
Lineage: Bacteria; Bacillati; Bacillota; Bacilli; Caryophanales; Staphylococcaceae
Description: partial 16S ribosomal RNA
Rfam family: Bacterial small subunit ribosomal RNA
Source: RNAcentral
UUUAUGGAGAGUUUGAUCCUGGCUCAGGAUGAACGCUGGCGGUGUGCCUAAUACAUGCAAGUCGAGCGAACGGA